This 66-nucleotide transfer RNA is filed under the name Nelumbo nucifera (sacred lotus). It matches the Rfam family "tRNA". Rfam says of the family: Transfer RNA (tRNA) molecules are approximately 80 nucleotides in length. Their secondary structure includes four short double-helical elements and three loops (D, anti-codon, and T loops). Lineage: Eukaryota; Viridiplantae; Streptophyta; Magnoliopsida; Proteales; Nelumbonaceae. The record is from Rfam by way of RNAcentral.
GGUCCCAUGGUUUAGUGGUUAGGACAUUGGACUCCAGUAACCCGAGUUCAAAUCUCGGUGGGACCU